GUCCUGGGCUUGUGCUCGAGGAGUGAAUGGUGGAUUCUGACCCCCAUGCACCCCUGCAGGCCCCUGGAAUCACUGGCCUCAUCCUUCACCCCUGCCAGCCACACUUGCCCUGUGCCU
This 117-nucleotide microRNA precursor is filed under the name Chlorocebus sabaeus (green monkey). RNAcentral's name for it is "miRNA (ENSCSAG00000023087.1)". It matches the Rfam family "mir-1257 microRNA precursor family". The record is from Rfam by way of RNAcentral. Lineage: Eukaryota; Metazoa; Chordata; Mammalia; Primates; Cercopithecidae.